GUGGGGAAUAUUGAACAAUGGGCGAAAGCCUGAUCCAGCCAUGCCGCGUGUGUGAAGAAGGUCUUCGGAUUGUAAAGCACUUUAAGUUGGGAGGAAGGGCAGUAAGUUAAUACCUUGCUGUUUUGACGUUACCGACAGAAUAAGCACCGGCUAACUUCGUGCCAGCAGCCGCGGUAAUACGAAGGGUGCAAGCGUUAAUCGGAAUUACUGGGCGUAAAGCGCGCGUAGGUGGUUUUGUAAGUUGGAGGUGAAAUCCCCGGGCUCAACCUGGGAACUGCCUCCAAAACUGCAUGACUAGAGUACGGUAGAGGGUAGUGGAAUUUCCUGUGUAGCGGUGAAAUGCGUAGAUAUAGGAAGGAACACCAGUGGCGAAGGCGACUACCUGGACUGAUACUGACACUGAGGUGCAAAAGCGUGGGGAGCAAACAGGAUUAGAUACCCUUGUAGUCC
Molecule: ribosomal RNA, 450 nt
Filed under: uncultured bacterium
Lineage: Bacteria
Description: partial 16S ribosomal RNA
Rfam family: Bacterial small subunit ribosomal RNA
Source: RNAcentral